RNAcentral lists this ribosomal RNA (505 nucleotides) under uncultured bacterium. RNAcentral's name for it is "bacterial SSU rRNA". It matches the Rfam family "Bacterial small subunit ribosomal RNA", at positions 28 to 525 of the family's 1533-position model. The record is from RNAcentral.
GAUGAACGCUAGCGACAGGCCUAACACAUGCAAGUCGAGGGGCAGCACAUGAGUAGCAAUACGAUGGUGGCGACCGGCGCACGGGUGAGUAACACGUAUGCAACCUACCUGUAAGAGGGGAAUAACCCGGAGAAAUCCGGACUAAUACCGCAUAACAUUGUUUUUCGCAUGAAAAGACACUUAAACAUUUAUGGCCUACAGAUGGGCAUGCGUAUGAUUAGUUUGUUGGUGAGGUAACGGCUCACCAAGGCAUCGAUCAUUAGGGGUUCUGAGAGGAAGGUCCCCCACACUGGUACUGAGACACGGACCAGACUCCUACGGGAGGCAGCAGUGAGGAAUAUUGGUCAAUGGGCGAGAGCCUGAACCAGCCAAGUCGCGUGAAGGAAGAAGGUUCUAUGGAUUGUAAACUUCUUUUGUAAGGGAAUAAAAAGAGUUACGUGUAACUUAUUGUAUGUACUUUACGAAUAAGGAUCGGCUAACUCCGUGCCAGCAGCCGCGGUAAACA